CCGACGGCAGAAAGAAAACAGAAAGAGGAACAAAGAGGUCACUUAGAAGGACGUCCUCAGUCCUGCUGCUGAGGUCGUUCUGCUCUGCUCUCCACCACCGUGCUGAGCACUGCACGGUCUGACCUUCAGGACAUCUUCUACCACCGCCAGAGAACCAUGGUUCACUUUCCUGGAGUGCUGCCUGCGAGGGACGGAGGGGAUGGGUGACAUCGUAACAAAAAUACAUAAAUACCAAAGAGUCAGGUUUGGAUUUGAAUCAAAGCUACAUUUUAAAUCCAAUAAAAAC
Long non-coding RNA from Austrofundulus limnaeus, 286 nucleotides. RefSeq lists it as uncharacterized. The record is from RefSeq and is a predicted model, not a curated record. The transcript has 3 exons. Lineage: Eukaryota; Metazoa; Chordata; Actinopteri; Cyprinodontiformes; Rivulidae.